CAGGGAAUCGUACACAAUGGACGAAAGUCUGAUGUCGCAAUGCCGCGUGGAGGAUGAAGGCCUUCGGGUCGUAAACUCCUUUUACAGUAAUUGAGAAGUUAUUGAGAAUAAGCACCUGCUAACUCUGUGCCAGCAGCCGCGGUAAUACAGAGGGUGCAAGCGUUAUCCGGAUUUAUUGGGCGUAAAGCGUUUCGUAGGUCUCUAGAUAAGUUAGUCUUCAAAGACCACGGCUCAACCGGGGGAAGGGACUAAUACUGUCUUGGAUUGAAAUAUGAUGGGGCUUCUGGAACUGAUGGUGUAGUAGUGAAAUACGUUGAUAUCAUCAGGAACUCCGAGGGCGAAGGCAGGAAGCUAAUCAUUUUUGACACUGAGGAACGACAGCUAGGGAGCGAAAGGGAU
This 399-nucleotide ribosomal RNA is filed under the name uncultured bacterium. RNAcentral describes it as "bacterial SSU rRNA". It matches the Rfam family "Bacterial small subunit ribosomal RNA", at positions 355 to 778 of the family's 1533-position model. The record is from RNAcentral.